GGCUGUUUAGUUUAAAUUAAAACUUAUGUUUUGAAAACAUACAAUAGAAUAGGCAUGUCUAACAGUCG
This 68-nucleotide transfer RNA is filed under the name Trypaea australiensis. RNAcentral describes it as "tRNA-Ser". It matches the Rfam family "tRNA". Rfam says of the family: Transfer RNA (tRNA) molecules are approximately 80 nucleotides in length. The record is from RNAcentral. Lineage: Eukaryota; Metazoa; Arthropoda; Malacostraca; Decapoda; Callianassidae.